UGCUAUAAAAGCACAAACAAAGUAAUGCUGGCGAUAAAAGUGCUUGGAGAGCGACACCAGUAUAUCGUUUGAAAAAAUUAGAGUGAUUUUGCUCAUUGAUUUAUAUAUCAUCAUCGUAUCGAUUAAUGCGGCGGUUGCCAAUUGCAGAACACAUCAAAACUGAACUUGGUAUCUCGUCACGAUGAUGUUGAAAAGUAUGAUGUGCCUUUUAUUAAUCCUACCGCUGGGUUAUACGAAAUGCUGUUAUCCAACACCGAAGUUCUUACUUAACCCAGAAUGUAAUGGUGGGAGGCCUUUACCUAAAGGAAUGUGUUGCGGCAGAGGCCCUUGCAAUUUUUUUUGCUGCAAUUGCAAUGGUGGGUGUGUGGGUGACAGCGAAGAUGUAUUGAAGAUUUGGAGAGAAGUUAUGAGCCAUAAUAAAUUUAAUAAUAUGAUAUAAAUAUUAGACAUUUAUACAUUAAAUAUUAAUCAACAGCACCGCGGAUAAUAAAUAAUUAUCGAUAAUCGACUGUUUAAGUAUUAAAAAUAUUAUAUAGAUUUCAAAAUUAAUCAAUAUUAUUGUGUAAUACAUUUUACGAUUUUUACGUUGAAAAUUUUCAGAAGGGCUGCACUUAUAUUUGAAGACGGCAAAGCUUUAUUUGGAAGCUUCUGAAAUUCGGUUGCGAUUGAGAAGUUGGGUGUUUCGGAGGAGAC
Chrysoperla carnea is the source of this 693-nucleotide long non-coding RNA. RefSeq lists it as uncharacterized. The record is from RefSeq and is a predicted model, not a curated record. The transcript has 2 exons. NCBI's taxonomy places the organism in Eukaryota, Metazoa, Arthropoda, Insecta, Neuroptera, Chrysopidae.